GACGAACGCUGGCGGCGUGCUUAACACAUGCAAGUCGAACGGAAAGGCCCUGCUUUUGUGGGGUGCUCGAGUGGCGAACGGGUGAGUAACACGUGAGUAACCUGCCCUCGACUUUGGGAUAACUUCAGGAAACUGGGGCUAAUACCGGAUAUGAACUGCUGCUCCCUGGUGGGGGGGGGAAAGGGUCGGCGGUUGGGGAUGGUCUCGCGGCUGAUCAGCUUGUUGGUGGGGGAGUGGCUGACCAAGGCUUUGCCGGGUAGCCGGCCUGGGAGGGUGGCCGGCCACAUUGGGACUGGGCUACGGCCCGGACUCCUACGGGAGGCAGCAGUGGGGAGUAUUGCAGCAUGGGCGGGAGCCGGAUGCAGCGGCGCCGCGUGCGGGAUGUCGGCCUUCGGUUUGUAUACCGCUUUCGCCUGUGCCGAAGUGGGAGUGACGGUAAUGGGUAAAGAAGCACCGGCUAACUACGUG
Molecule: ribosomal RNA, 468 nt
Filed under: uncultured bacterium
Lineage: Bacteria
Description: partial 16S ribosomal RNA
Rfam family: Bacterial small subunit ribosomal RNA
Source: RNAcentral